GCGGAUAUGGCGGAAUUGGUAGACGCGCUAGGUUUAGGUCCUAGUGGGCAUUGCCUGUGGGGGUUCAAGUCCCUCUAUCCGCAC
This 84-nucleotide transfer RNA is filed under the name Anaplasma platys. RNAcentral's name for it is "tRNA-Leu". It matches the Rfam family "tRNA". Rfam says of the family: Transfer RNA (tRNA) molecules are approximately 80 nucleotides in length. Their secondary structure includes four short double-helical elements and three loops (D, anti-codon, and T loops). Further hydrogen bonds mediate the characteristic L-shaped molecular structure. tRNAs have two regions of fundamental functional importance: the anti-codon, which is responsible for specific mRNA codon recognition, and the 3' end, to which the tRNAs corresponding amino acid is attached (by aminoacyl-tRNA synthetases). tRNAs cope with the degeneracy of the genetic code in two manners: having more than one tRNA (with a specific anti-codon) for a particular amino acid; and 'wobble' base-pairing, i.e. permitting non-standard base-pairing at the 3rd anti-codon position. Lineage: Bacteria; Pseudomonadati; Pseudomonadota; Alphaproteobacteria; Rickettsiales; Anaplasmataceae. The record is from RNAcentral.